CGUGCCGUCCUCUUUCUUCAACCCCGCGCAACCCCGGCUAUGUUUUCCUUCCGAACCUAUGAGAUUCCCAUUUACACCCUCUUCAGCAGACAGAAAGUAGGGUUCCAUUUUCACUGACGUCAGCUGUAAAACGGCGUUUCCGAUAUUCAUGGAUUCGUCGUUGUCCUCUCUGCACCUAGCCAUGGCAGCUCUAGUUGGAGCUUCGUUGAUGGCAAUUUCGGCCUUUUACGUUCACAAGCGCGCCGUUGAUCAAGUACUUGAUCGCCUUAUUGAAAUCCGUCUCGGUUCACCUAAAAGUUCCAAAAGGAAAUCAUUCGUCACUGACGAAGAGGAUUCCGAAGAGGACCAGGAGAGUAAUGAUGAAGCCUAUGGGUCCGACAGAGAUGCGGCUGUGGAGAGGAAAAUGUGGAGCCGGAGUGCAUCGAGGUCCUUGGACGAUAAAAGUGUGCUUCGAAGUUAUAGGGUGUCGGCUUCGAUGCCCAAUGCGGUGUUGAGCAAUGAUUGGUUCGAUGAUGAUGAGAAGUUUGAUCAACAGUCGUCGAGGUUUAGUGCUCAGGGUCAGGGAGAGAGGCUUAACUUCGUUCCCUCUGGGCUUCCGUCUCUGCGAAUGUCUACAAGAGAUGGAGAUAAUAAAUCUGUUAACUACUCUAGUUCUGUUGCAAGGAUGGCAUCUUUUGGCAGGCGAAAUACCCCAAGAUCGCCCAGUGCUAAUGCCUUUGAAAGUGAAUGGGAUUCUGACGAGGAAGGAACAGAGUAUGGCAAUGAAGAUGACAUUACUUUCAUUGAUGGGAACAUGGACUCUUCUGCUAAUCGUAUAAAUGUGUGGUUGUCUCCCUUUUUAGCUUUUCUACAUAUUUUGUUUUCUUAUAAUUAAUUCAUUAUCCUUGACAUACAUUAUACCAAAUGUAUGAAGUAGUUCAUGCAAGUUUGGAUAUAUAGAUGCUAUUGGCUAUAAGUGGUCAUGCCCUAUUAAUACGUUAUGCUCUUGGAAAGAUGAUAAUUUGCUCCUCUAGUGUGCAUACUUUUUCUCUGGGAUGCGCAGUGACAUAGUUGAGAGCAUUUAAUUUGCAGCAUCACUUUCUUUGCUUUGUAAUCAUCUAUUUCUCUGGUAAAGGUUUUGUUGCUUGGUUGAAUAACUGAAAUCAAGCAUUUAAAAUCAAUCUGAGAUAUUGUUGCUAAUGAGUUUGCAGGAGGUUGAUUCAAAAUUUCAAAACUCAUCUUUGCUAUUUAGAGGUGACACUGCAAAUGUUAUUAAAGGUCAGAAUAUUGAAGAUCCUGGAGCUGAAGCAAAAGUUGGUGUUGAUAUGCUUAGCAGAAAAGUAGAUAUAGCUUCAGUGCGCCAAGUGGGAAAUGAAGCUGCUUUUGCCUGCACAAUUUUACCUUUGAGAACAACAAUGCAUGAGUCAGUAAAUAUAGAAGAGGAAGAAGUGCGGAAGAUGAUCCGUGAAUGCUUGGAUUUGCGGAAUAGGUAUGUUUACAGGGAAGUGGUUGCUCCAUGGAAGCAAGAUGUUACUGAACUUAGUACCAAAAAAUUGAAAUCAGAUCCGUUUCACUUUGAACCUGUCCCAGCAACUACACAUCACUUUAGGAUGGAAGAUGGAGUUGUACAUGUUUAUGCUAGUGAAAAAGAUACUGUAGAUCUUUUCCCUGUUGCUAGUGCAACAACAUUUUUUACAGAUAUGCACCACAUUUUAAGAAUCAUAUCUAUUGGAAAUGUUCGUACUGCUUGCCAUCACAGACUAAGAUUUCUUGAGGAGAAAUUCCGCCUUCAUCUGUUAGUAAAUGCAGAUAGGGAGUUCUUGGCUCAGAAGAGUGCUCCCCACCGCGAUUUCUACAAUAUCAGAAAAGUUGAUACACAUGUGCAUCAUUCUGCUUGCAUGAACCAGAAGCAUCUCCUGCGAUUCAUUAAGUCAAAGCUAAGAAAGGAACCAGAUGAGGUUGUUAUAUUUAGAGAUGGAAAAUACAUGACACUAAAGGAGGUUUUUGAGAGUUUGGACUUGACUGGGUAUGAUUUGAAUGUUGAUUUGUUGGAUGUCCAUGCUGAUAAAAGCACCUUUCAUCGAUUUGAUAAAUUUAAUCUCAAAUACAAUCCUUGUGGACAAAGCAGACUUCGGGAGAUUUUUUUAAAGCAGGAUAAUCUAAUUCAAGGACGUUUCUUGGCAGAAGUAACAAAAGAAGUUCUAUCAGAUCUUGAAGCAAGCAAAUACCAGGUUUCAUUUACACACUAUAGACAAAUGAUUGAAACUUUUAGUGCCAUUGAUUCUUAUUCUUUAGGUCAUGCUGUUUCUUCCAAUCUAUGACACAGUGGACCAGGAUAUUGCUUUUCAAAGAAACACUGCUGCUCCCUUUUAGUGGAUCAAUUAUUGUUAAGGUUUAGAAUACAUGUGUGAGCGCUUCUCUGGACAUCGCUUUGGAAGAACAGGAAAUUGAUUUUUCUUCCUUUCUUUUUAUCAAGAGCAUUUAAAUAGAGCAGAGAAUCAUUUUUCCAUUUGUAAGAAUAUGAAGAACAGCAUAAAAAAAAAGGUUAUCUUUGGACUUGCUUAUAUUUUCAUGUGGGUUCUCUUUAGCACAAUGCAGGUUUAUAAUCUGCCUUAAAUUAGUGUCCUUCAGGAGACAAUCUGGAUUGCACAUAGUCAAACUAUUGAUUCUAACUCAAAAUUGGGACACAUGUUACCAUUGAUCCUUGGUUUUAUCUUAGGAACCUUUUGCUGCUACUUUAUGCAAUAUGCGCUAAGUUGUAUCUUUAUUUUAAUGACGUUUGGGUCUAAUUUGCAGUUUUAAGUCAAAUACAACCUGAGUUUACAAUAACUUAAUCUGUAACAUUUUGUGGAAUUUUUCUCCUGCUACAAAUUUCAGAUCGCUGAGUAUAGGGUCUCUAUUUAUGGAAGGAAACAAAGUGAAUGGGACCAGCUAGCAAGUUGGUUCGUUAACAAUGCAAUUUGUAGUGAGAAUGCUGUCUGGUUAAUACAGCUACCACGGCUAUACAAUGUGUACAAGCAAAUGGGAACGGUUAAAUCCUUUCAGAAUAUUCUUGAUAAUGUUUUCAUUCCAUUAUUUGAAGUCACAAUAGAUCCAAGCUCUCAUCCUCAGCUACAUGUGUUCCUCAUGCAGGUUGUGGGAUUAGAUAUUGUUGAUGAUGAAAGCAGACCAGAAAGGCGUCCAACUAAGCACAUGCCAAAACCAGCAGAAUGGACCAAUGAGUUCAAUCCAGCCUACUCUUAUUAUGCUUAUUACUGCUAUACGAACUUAUAUACUCUGAAUAAGCUUCGUGAAUCUAAAGGAUUGCCGACCAUAAAAUUUCGGCCACAUUGUGGAGAGGCUGGUGAUAUUGACCAUUUGGCUGCUGCAUUUCUUCUAUGCCAUAACAUAUCUCAUGGGAUCAACUUGCGGAAAUCUCCUGUUCUGCAAUACUUGUAUUACCUUGCUCAGAUUGGAUUGGCUAUGUCACCAUUGAGCAACAAUUCCCUUUUCCUGGAUUAUCAUCGAAACCCAUUUCCGAUGUUCUUCCAGCGUGGUCUGAAUGUUUCACUCUCAUCUGAUGAUCCUUUGCAAAUUCAUUUAACAAGGGAACCACUGGUGGAAGAGUAUAGCAUUGCAGCAAAGGUGUGGAAACUCAGUUCAUGUGACUUGUGCGAGAUAGCGAGAAAUUCUGUUUAUCAAUCUGGAUUCUCCCAUGUGGCAAAGUUGCAUUGGCUUGGCAGCAAAUUUUUUCUAAGAGGUCCAGAGGGAAAUGAUAUUCACAAGACAAAUGUACCCCAUAUGAGGAUUGCCUUCAGACAUGAGACGUGGAAGGAGGAAAUGCAGUAUGUCUACUCGGGAAGAGCUGUUUUUCCUGAAGAAGUAGAAUUUUAAACAGAAUGAAACUGGAUUGCGAAUAAAGCAACUACAAAGUGGACACUGGUUCUCAGUGAGAAUUGGUAUCAGUUCCUCUGCAUGUUUCUGACUUUACCAAAUUUAAGGAGAAGAUGCCAUUUUCAAAGAGGCAAUUUUUAAGAGUAAAUUUCACCCAUCAUCCCGGAAUUUAGGGAGUUAUGAUAGCUUCUUUUUUAAAUUUUGAUUUGUAACAUAAAAUUCCUUUAACAUUAAUUUAGUAAACAUGAAAGUUCGUUUAAUAUAUAAUAACUUGUUUUUCAGUUAUAAAGUUGAUGCGACUAAAAUUUCUCACAUACCUUCGAAUUAAAACAAUCCUCUCUUCCCCCUUGCUCAUCUCUCUCCUUUUCUCAAGUCAUUGCUCUCCGUCUCCUUCACAGUUCAAAGUAUUGUCACUCAUUCCUUUCAAGAAUAGUGACUACUUCCCAAAUCAUUGCUCAUUGUCUCCUUCACAAUGUACAUUAAAAGUAAUAACCAUUUUUGUUCCUGGUGCUGUUGUUGCUCCUCCUUGUGCUUUUAUUAUUGCCCUUUAAUUCCUGGAUUGCGUUCUCAUCCACCCUUCAAUUGAUGUUUUCUUGUUUUUUCGGUCUGCACUUCACUUCUCCUCUACCUUCUCAGUUUUCAAUCUCAAUCGGCUUCACUCUUUCACAGGUGGCAGUGGAUUUUUCCAAGAACCCAAAGCCCACCUUCUCAAUAGUUUUCUUGGCAUCAGGUAAUUCUAAAUUUUAGUUGUUCUUGACAUCAGGUAAUUCUAAAUUUCUAAUUGUUGUUUGUUGCUUUGCUGGAAAAAUGGUUUAUUUUGGAAUUCUUGCGUUGGUUCAGUAUUGAGGGUUCAAGUAGUAAUGACAAAAGAGGAUGCAUGGGUUAUCAAGUGAGGAUGAUCAUAUUUGCUCAUCUUACCACCAUUGACUAUAAAUUCAUCUCAUCUUUGCUUUUUUCUACUUUUGGUGUCGAGACCAAUAUGGAAUACCUCGUGAGGUUCACUGUCCCUCGAUUAAAAUUCAAGUUGUAUUGCUUCGAUCUAGAGAUUGUGUGAACUAUGAUAUCCACUUCUGUGAGGCAAGCACUCGAACAAACACACAAUAAUGCAAGAAAUUAUUUAGCUGCUCUGCUGGAGCCUUGCGUUUGCAGAGUGAAAUCUUUGGAUUAUAUGGAAUGGGAUUUGAGUGAAAUCCUGGUUAGUGACUCUGGCAUAUUUGAGCCAAUAACCAACAGCUUGUAGUUUCUGAAUUGUUUGAUGAUAAUAGUGCGUGUAUUAUGAGAAGAAAUUAUCACUUUUAUAAACAGAUAUUAUACUAAUGUGUUGCCUAUUGCUUCCCUUAAAUUAUAAUGUAGAUCACCAAUUUGUGGUGAAUGAAGUUGAG
This 5234-nucleotide unclassified non-coding RNA is filed under the name Hevea brasiliensis (rubber tree). The record is from RNAcentral. Lineage: Eukaryota; Viridiplantae; Streptophyta; Magnoliopsida; Malpighiales; Euphorbiaceae.